Homo sapiens (human) is the source of this 5082-nucleotide long non-coding RNA. RefSeq lists it as uncharacterized. Lineage: Eukaryota; Metazoa; Chordata; Mammalia; Primates; Hominidae. The transcript is spliced from 2 exons. The record is from RefSeq and is a predicted model, not a curated record.
AACUCAGAAAUGACAUAGGUCCCCAUUUAUGUGUGAAGGUGGCAAAAGCCACUGGAAAGGGACGAGAAUCCAUAGGUGUACUAACUGAAGGCCACCUGGUCAGAUCUGUCAUUCUCUACCCCCAAAGGCUAUGACAUUGAGAAAGGAGCAACUGAGUCUUAUUCACUGAGUCCCCAGUGCCCAUCAAGGGACAUGGUACAUGGCAGAUGCCCAACAACUAUUUCUUGGAUGGACGGGGAAAUGUUUCCUAAUCACAACAGAAGAGAAGCAAGCAGCCAUUGUACCACUAACACAAAGCAAGCAACUCUGCUUCGACUUCUCCCACUUUUGGGAAAAGUCCACUUUUCAAGAAGGAGACUGGAAACAGGAAGUGGCCCAGGCUUGCCCUCGUCACCGCCAGUGACACCAACCAGGCGCUCAGUGCAGCAUCCAGCUUCCAGCCUCAGGAUGGCCCCGAGACAGAGGCUGGCUGCUCCGAUUUCAACCAGAGCCAUUUCUGAGGCUGGAAUGAUCAACUGGAAUAGUGAAAAAUGCAGUGCUGUUGGAAGCCAAGUUUUAAGGAGAAUUUUUGUUAUUGUUUGUUUCAACAGACAAACUUAUAUACAUGUAUCAUGUGGGCAAGGAGAUGGGAGGAAUGAAGCUAGGCAAAUUCAUUACCUUUUAAAAAGAAAUCUAGUUCUUCUUGAGGGACUCUCCCUUCUGCUUGUUCUAUCUUGAUGGUCAUAUUAAAAGAAAAGAGUAGCUUGUGCCUCUCAAACAGCCCUGGAGGGAAACAUCAGAUGAGUAUUGAUUUCUUAAAAUUCAUUUUUAAAAAACUGAGUUUCUUAUGCACACUGUGCUUAAACGUAAGAUAAAUGAAACACUCGAACUGUAUGGCUGCAUUUACCCCUCUUUGCACCUAAUGUCCAUGAAUAUCUAAGUUCAAGAGAGAUGAGCUCAGUUCCUAGGUCAUGCCCCAGUCUGUAGUGACAUGCUCCUGUAUGUAACGGAAAUGGCCAUGUCUACAGGAGGUAAAAUCACACCAACCUGGGAAGAGGAAAAGCCAGUGAGGGGCAGUACAGCAGGGGCAGCCCUCUCCACUGAAGGCAGGUUGUUUGCCUGACUCCAUGGCAUUUGUGUCCAUUAGAGUCUAGAAGAGGUGUUGGCAAACUUUCUACAAAGGGCCAGAUAGUAAAUAUUUUUGGCUUUGGAAGCUAGAUGGUCUCUGUCAUAACCACUCAACUCCGCCAUUGUAGUGCAAAAGCAACCAUAGACAAUAUGUAUACAAAUGGAUAUGGCCCUGUUCCAAUAAAACUUUAUUUACAAAAGCAGGCAGUGGGCCAGAUUUGGAUGCUGGCUAGGGGGUUGCCAACCUCUAUUGCAGAGGACACACACUCCAUCAACAGACUCUUUAUUAAUGGAUGCAAAAUACCAGCGUUCUUCUUUUUUGCUUUUUAACAGAAGACAUGUGUUCCUGGAAAAAAAAAUUGUUUAAGUCAAAAUUUGUAAUUUGAAUUCUACUUUAUAUGUGUUAGGAGGGUUGGCUACUUAAGUGAGCCCUAUAGAAACAAUCUCUUUUCUGCCCAACUGUUAAGGGCUAAAUUAUAUUUCUCCAAACUUCCUAUGUUGAAGCCCCAACUUCCAGUACCUGAGAAUAUGACAGUAUUUGGAGACAGGGUCUUUAAAUAGGUGAUUAAGUUCAAAUGAGGCCAUUAAGGUGGGCCCAGUCCAACCUCACUGGUGUCCUUAUAAGAGGAGGAAAUUUGGACACACAGAGACACCAGGGAUUCACACGCAGAGAAGAAAGACCUUGUGUGGACAGAGCAGGAAGACAGCCUCCUACAAGCCAAGGGGAGCAUCCUAAGGAGAAACGAAACCUACCAAAACCUUGAUUUUGGACUUCUGACCUCCAAAACUAUGAGAAAAUAAAUUUCUGUUGCUUAAGCCACCCAGUCGGUGGUAUUUUGUUAUGGCAGGCAUGGCAAACUAAUACACCAAACGCUGGUGCAUGGAAAAUAUCACUGUCAGUACAGUGUCUCAGCAGAAGAGGACUGGAAAGGGACACGAGUGUGUCCUACCCACCCUCUGCUUCCUAAAGGUCACUCUACAGGCCCCUGGUUAAAAAUGGCCAUUCUGAGUUUAUCCCAACUCCUUUUCAAAAACCAACUGAAAUGGUGAGUUUUUUUGUUUGUUUGUUGUUUUUGUGCAGUGGCGCGAUCUCGGCUCACUGCAACCUCCGCCUCCCGGGUUCAAGCCAUUCUCCUGCCUCAGCCUCCCCCCCAGUAGCUGGGACUACAGGUGCCUGCCAACACGCCCAGCUAAUUUUUGUAUUUUUAGUAGAGACGGGGUUUCACCAGGUUGGCCAGGAUGGUCUCCAUCUCUUGACCUCAUGAUCCGCCCGCCCUGGCGGCCCAAAGUGCUGGGAUUACAGGAGUGAGCCACCGCGCCUGGCCUAAUGGUUAGUUUUUUAAAAAGGUAUAAGCUCCCAGAAAAUUGGAGAAAAGACAAUAGCAAUAAAAUUUUGCAAGCUAGGCCAGGUGUGGUGGCUCACAUCUGUAAUCCUAGCACUUUGGGAGGCCGGGGUGGGCAGAUCACUUGAGAUCAAGAGUUCGAGACCAGCCUGGCCAACAUGGCAAAACCCUGUCUCUACUAAAAAUACUAAAAAUUAGCUGAGUGUGGUGGUAGGUGCCUGUAAUCCCAGCUACUUGGGAGGCUGAGGCAGGAGAAUCACUUGAACCCAGGAGGCGAAGGUUGCAGUGAGCUAAGAUCGCACCACUGCACUCCAGCCUGGGCAACAGAGUGACAUUCUGUCUCAAAAAAAAAAAAAAAAAAAAAAAAAAAAACUGCAAGCUACAGACAGAUGGACAAGUGAUAACUGAUUUAGCAGAGCUGAGAAAGUUGACUCUCACAUGAGGAGGAGAUAAAGCUGAGAUGCAAACCACAGAACACAUCAAAAGCUCAGGAACUGGCAGUACCAGAUCCUUUGGAAGUGUGGGUGAAUAUGGGCUAAAAACAGGAAGAUGGGUGGACAGCUUGUUUGACAAGCCGUCAGAUCCCAGAUCCCCUCUCACUCCAUGCUGCCAGGCAACUGCCUGCCCCACCCAAGUGAACUUUGGAAAAGAUAAAGCAGGGUCUCUGGACGGGGGAACACCAGGCAUAGUUGAGGGUAAACCGUACUGAAAAUAUGGCUUUCAGUGAACGUUUUCACGACGAAUGCUGAAAUCGACAGCCUUCUUUUCUCACUUGGUUCCACGAAGGCUGGCAGCCAGGAUUACAUACUCUAGGAAAAGGCUGAAGACUCUUCACUGGGGAAUCCUAAAGUCUCAUGAGAAAAGAACUACAUGUAUUGGCAUUUGAGAGUUCCUCCAAUGACACACUACAGAGAGGCGAGCACAAAAUUCAGACGACGGGAAACAACCCAGCAAUCAGGUAGGUUUCUUCCACAGAUAAAUGCAAGGGGUGGGGCAGACACGGUGGCUUAUGCUUCUAAUCCCAGCACUUUGGGAGGCCGAGGCAGGAGGAUCCCUUAAGCCCAGGAGUUCAAGAUCAGCCUGGGCAACAUGGCGAGACCACCAUCUCUACAAAUUUUUUUUAAAAAUUAGCCAGGCAUGGUGGCAUGCACCUGUAGUCCCAGCUACUGAGGAGGCUGAAGUGAGAGGAUCACUUGAGCCUGGGAGGUGGAGGUUGCAGUAAGCUGUGAUUGUGCCAUUGCACCCUAGCCUGGGCAUCAGAGCCAGACCCUGUCUCCAAAAAUAAACAAACAAAAAUAAAAAUAAAUGCAAGGGGGAAAAGAGAGAAAUUAAGUGACACAACCAAUUAUAAUGUAUAGACCUUAAUGAGGUCCUGAUUUAAAAUAAUGUGAAACAUGACAUAUAAGACAAUUGGGAACAUUUGAAAACCUGAAUAUGAUGAUAUUCAGGAAUUAUUAAUUUGGGGAUAUGAUAAUGGCCUUAUGUCUAUGUUUUGAGAUAGAAUCCUUCUAUUUUAUAGCAGGGAUGGGCAAACCACAAGCAAGGGGCCAAAUCCAGCCUGCUGCCUGUUUUUGCUAAAAAAGUUUUAUUGGAACACAGCCAUGGCCAUUCACUUCCAUAUCAUCCAAUGGCUGCUUUUGUGCUACAAUUGCCACCAUGCCCAGUGGGGCCUGUGGCACACAACUGCAGAAGUGAGUAGUUGUGGCAGAAAUCACUUAGCCUUCAAAGCCUAAAACACUUACUAUCUGACCCUUUCCAGAAAAAGUUUGCUGACCUCUGUUUUAGAGAUACAAACUAACAUACUUACAGAUAAGUGAUCUGAAUAUGAAGCAAAUUUUCAACAUAAUCUGGGUUGAUGGGGAACCGUGUUACAUAUAAACAAAUCCAGAGCUAAUCAUUGCCAGGUGAGGGCUGUGCAGACGAUCACGACACUAUUCUCUUUUGCAUAUGUUUUCCAUAAUAAAAAGUCUUUUGAAAAAAUCAAUGAUUUAGGGGUUUAAAUAUACUGUAGUCACUUUGGAAAACAGUUUGGCAGUUCCUCAAAAGUUAGACAUAGAAUUACCCUAUGACCCAGCAGUUCCCUUUCUAGAUAUACCCCCAAGAGAAUUAAAAACACACAUUCACACAAAAACCUGCACACAAAUGUUCACAGGAGCAUUGCCUUAAUAGCAAAACAAGCGAAACAACCCAAAUGCCCAUCAGGUGACGGGUGGAUAAACACAGUGCGGUCUGUCCAUACAUGGAAUGUGACUCAGCCACAGGCAGGAAUGAAGCGCUGACACACGCAGCAACACGGAUGAACCGUGAGGUCACGGAGUGGAGUGAAAGAUACCAGUCAUGAAGUCACACACCGUAUGAUGCCAUUGACAUGAAGUGUUCAGAGCAAGUAAAUCCUUACAGAUGGAAGGCAGAGCGGUGACUGCCAGGGACUAGGAGUGGGGGGCCAGGGGGUGACUGCUAAUGGGUAUGGGAUUUCAUUUCGGGGCUGGUGGAAACGUUCCGGAGCCAGAGAGUAGUGAUAGCUGCACAACUCUAUGUAUAUGCUAUGAAUCACCACCGAAUGGUAUAUUUUUAAAGGACGAAUUUAUGGUAUGUAAAUUGUGUCUCAAUAAAGCUGCUAUCUUAAAAUUCA